This 269-nucleotide ribosomal RNA is filed under the name uncultured prokaryote. RNAcentral describes it as "partial 16S ribosomal RNA". It matches the Rfam family "Bacterial small subunit ribosomal RNA", at positions 524 to 792 of the family's 1533-position model. The record is from RNAcentral.
UACGGAGGAUCCAAGCGUUAUCCGGAUUUAUUGGGUUUAAAGGGUGCGCAGGCGGGAUGUUAAGUCGGCGGUGAAAUUUUGCAGCUCAACUGUAAAAGUGCCUUCGAUACUGGCUUUCUUGAGUGUGGAUGAAGUAGGCGGAAUUUGUGGUGUAGCGGUGAAAUGCUUAGAUAUCACGAGGAACUCCGAUUGCGCAGGCAGCUUACUAAACCACUACUGACGCUCAUGCACGAAGGCGUGGGGAUCAAACAGGAUUAGAUACCCCCGUA